GCCCUACGGGGCGCAGCAGUCGCGAAAACUUUGCAAUACACGAAAGUGUGACAGGGCUAUCCCGAGUGCCAUCCGCUGAGGAAGGCUUUUACCCAGUCUAGAACGCUGGGGGAAUAAGGAGAGGGCAAGUCUGGUGUCAGCCGCCGCGGUAAUACCAGCUCUCCGAGUGGUGUGGAUGUUUAUUGGGCCUAAAGCAUCCGUAGCUGGCUGAGUUAGUCCCUUGUUAAAUCCACCGAAUUAAUCGUUGGAUUGCGGGGGAUACUGCUCGGCUAGGGACGAG
RNAcentral lists this ribosomal RNA (280 nucleotides) under uncultured archaeon. RNAcentral's name for it is "partial 16S ribosomal RNA". It matches the Rfam family "Archaeal small subunit ribosomal RNA", at positions 320 to 602 of the family's 1478-position model. The record is from RNAcentral.